This 459-nucleotide ribosomal RNA is filed under the name uncultured bacterium. RNAcentral's name for it is "partial 16S ribosomal RNA". It matches the Rfam family "Bacterial small subunit ribosomal RNA", at positions 338 to 795 of the family's 1533-position model. The record is from RNAcentral.
CCUACGGGAGGCAGCAGUGAGGAAUAUUGGUCAAUGGGCGGAAGCCUGAACCAGCCAAGUAGCGUGCGGGAUGAAGGCCCUACGGGUCGUAAACCGCUUUUGCACGGGGAUAACACCCUCCACUUGUGGAGGUCUGCCGGUACCGUGCGAAUAAGGGCCGGCUAAUUCCGUGCCAGCAGCCGCGGUAAUACGGAGGGCUCGAGCGUUAUCCGGAUUCAUUGGGCUUAAAGGGAGCGUAGGCGGGCGUUCAAGUCAGCUGUAAAAUCGCGCGGCUCGACCGCGCCCCGCAGUUGAAACUGGACGCCUUGAGUUCACAACAGGCAGGCGGAAUUCGUGGUGUAGCGGUGAAAUGCAUAGAUAUCACGAGGAACCCCGAUUGCGAAGGCAGCCUGCCGGGGGGUGACUGACGCUGAGGCUCGAAGGUGCGGGUAGCAAACAGGAUUAGAUACCCGUGUAGUC